This 681-nucleotide unclassified non-coding RNA is filed under the name Hevea brasiliensis (rubber tree). The record is from RNAcentral. Lineage: Eukaryota; Viridiplantae; Streptophyta; Magnoliopsida; Malpighiales; Euphorbiaceae.
UAGACAUACUCCAGGUAUCAAUCAGCUUGGUAGUAGCCUUUUUCUUUAAGUUUUGUGCUUAUAGCUUUGAGGAUGCAAUGAGAGAACCAUUCGGUUAUGUCUUGUACAGCAUAGAUCACUUGCAUAGGAUGGUGAAGAAGUUGACCUAAAAUUUAACUUUGCAAUCAGUUAGUCACAAAUAAUUACAGUGUGAAAUGCUAAAGUUCAUACAGAUUUAAAGGUUUUGUUAAUUGGCCAAAUUAUUUUUCACUAGAACUGUCUAACGCUUAGUGAAAGGUAACAUGUUUGAAGCAGAUAAAGCUGGCUAAGAUUGUCAGAGUUUAGUUCUACCCUUAUAAGCUGGAACAAUGGUUAUAUUUUGUUGGCUGCUUAGAAUUGCUAUUUUAAAUUUCUAUUUAUGUAUGUUCUUGUGACACUACGAAGAGCAUCACUUUAUGUCUCUUUGGAGAAGUGGUCUUCAGCUUGCGAUUGCAGAACAAUCCUUUUAUCCAUUCAGAGUCUAUUGGGAGGUCUGUUUUCUAUUUUUCUACAUGUUUGAGCUUUGUUUUUGUUGAUGUCUUUAUCGGACCAUUCAGUUCUUGUGCAGAACCUAAUCCAGACAGUCCUCUCAACAGCUAUUCUGCAAAAUUAUGGAAUAAUAAGGAAGAUUACAAGAAAAUGGUCCACAAACAGUACUAUGCU